GUAGUAGAAAUAUUUUGCUUUAUGCAUAUUUAUUUCUUCAGUGUAUUUUGCAUCAACUCUAACAUGGUGCUCUGGUUUAGGUAGGAAUUAAAACCAAGCUGCCCAACACAGGGCUUUUGCACAACCAGACAACAUUAUGCAGACAAAUCUUUAGUAGGCAUUCAUUUAAUACCUCGGAGAAGAGACAACUAAGUAAAGCCUAUCAAAAACCUGAAAAAAAGCAAAAAUCUCCAAAUAAGGAGGAGGUGACUGUUUGCAUGCAUAUCUGCCAUGAAGUAAGGAUCUCUAAUGGGAACUGAAAUUGAGAGUGUCAUUUGGAAAGAUGUGGAGUAUCUGUAUCUGCAGCUUAGC
This 351-nucleotide long non-coding RNA is filed under the name Coturnix japonica (Japanese quail). RNAcentral's name for it is "lncRNA (ENSCJPG00005008895.1)". The record is from RNAcentral. Lineage: Eukaryota; Metazoa; Chordata; Aves; Galliformes; Phasianidae.